Molecule: ribosomal RNA, 805 nt
Filed under: uncultured bacterium
Lineage: Bacteria
Description: bacterial SSU rRNA
Rfam family: Bacterial small subunit ribosomal RNA
Source: RNAcentral
AGAGUUUGAUCCUGGCUCAGAUUGAACGCUGGCGGCAGGCCUAACACAUGCAAGUCGAACGGUAACAGGAAGAAGCUUGCUUCUUUGCUGACGAGUGGCGGACGGGUGAGUAAUGUUUGGGAAACUGCCUGAUGGAGGGGGAUAACUACUGGAAACGGUAGCUAAUACCGCAUAACGUCGCAAGACCAAAGAGGGGGACCUUCGGGCCUCUUGCCAUCGGAUGUGCCCAGAUGGGAUUAGCUUGUUGGUGGGGUAACGGCUCACCAAGGCGACGAUCCCUAGCUGGUCUGAGAGGAUGACCAGCCACACUGGAACUGAGACACGGUCCAGACUCCUACGGGAGGCAGCAGUGGGGAAUAUUGCACAAUGGGCGCAAGCCUGAUGCAGCCAUGCCGCGUGUAUGAAGAAGGCCUUCGGGUUGUAAAGUACUUUCAGCGGGGAGGAAGGGAGUAAAGUUAAUACCUUUGCUCAUUGACGUUACCCGCAGAAGAAGCACCGGCUAACUCCGUGCCAGCAGCCGCGGUAAUACGGAGGGUGCAAGCGUUAAUCGGAAUUACUGGGCGUAAAGCGCACGCAGGCGGUUUGUUAAGUCAGAUGUGAAAUCCCCGGGCUCAACCUGGGAACUGCAUCUGAUACUGGCAAGCUUGAGUCUCGUAGAGGGGGGUAGAAUUCCAGGUGUAGCGGUGAAAUGCGUAGAGAUCUGGAGGAAUACCGGUGGCGAAGGCGGCCCCCUGGACGAAGACUGACGCUCAGGUGCGAAAGCGUGGGAGCAAACAGGAUUAGAUACCCUGGUAGUCCACGCCGU